RNAcentral lists this ribosomal RNA (177 nucleotides) under uncultured bacterium. RNAcentral's name for it is "partial 16S ribosomal RNA". It matches the Rfam family "Bacterial small subunit ribosomal RNA", at positions 335 to 526 of the family's 1533-position model. The record is from RNAcentral.
ACUCCUACGGGAGGCAGCAGUGGGGAAUAUUCCGCAAUGGGGGCAACCCUGACGGAGCAAUGCCGCGUGAGUGAAGAAGGCCCUUGGGUCGUAAAGCUCUGUUUUCGGGGACGAAGAAAGUGACGGUACCCGAGUAGGAAGCCCCGGCUAGCCACGUGCCAGCAGCCGCGGUAAUAC